CCUACGGGAGGCAGCAGUGGGGAAUAUUGGGCAAUGGGCGCAAGCCUGACCCAGCAACGCCGCGUGAAGGAAGAAGGCUUUCGGGUUGUAAACUUCUUUUGUCAGGGAAGAGUAGAAGACGGUACCUGACGAAUAAGCCACGGCUAACUACGUGCCAGCAGCCGCGGUAAUACGUAGGUGGCAAGCGUUGUCCGGAUGUACUGGGUGUAAAGGGCGUGUAGCCGGGUUGACAAGUCAGAUGUGAAAUCCUGCGGCUUAACCGCAGAACUGCAUUUGAAACUGUUGAUCUUGAGUACUGGAGAGGCAGGUGGAAUUCCUAGUGUAGCGGUGAAAUGCGUAGAUAGUAGGAGGAACACCAGUGGCGAAGGCGGUCUGCUGGACAGCAACUGACGGUGAGGCGCGAAAGCGUGGGGAGCAAACAGGAUUAGAUACCCCUGUAGUC
Molecule: ribosomal RNA, 442 nt
Filed under: uncultured bacterium
Lineage: Bacteria
Description: partial 16S ribosomal RNA
Rfam family: Bacterial small subunit ribosomal RNA
Source: RNAcentral